RNAcentral lists this ribosomal RNA (1234 nucleotides) under metagenome. RNAcentral's name for it is "bacterial LSU rRNA". It matches the Rfam family "Bacterial large subunit ribosomal RNA", at positions 1564 to 2808 of the family's 2925-position model. The record is from RNAcentral.
UGAGUACGAGAUGCUACGGCAUCGAAGCAGUCUAUGUCAUACUUCCAAGAAAAGCUUGCACUGUCAGAAACAGAUAAUGCCUGUACCAUAACCGACACAGGUGGGUAGGUAGAGUAUACUAAGGGGCGCGAGAUAACUCUCUCUAAGGAACUCGGCAAAAUGACUCCGUAACUUCGGGAGAAGGAGUGCCUUAUUUUUAAGGUUGCAAUAACAAGAUCCAAGCAACUGUUUACCAAAAACACAGGUCUCCGCUAUGUCGUAAGACGAUGUAUGGGGGCUGACGCCUGCCCAGUGCCAGAAGGUUAAAGAAGUCGGUUAGCAUUCGCGAAGCUGGUAACUGAAGCCCUGGUGAACGGCGGCCGUAACAAUAACGGUCCUAAGGUAGCGAAAUUCCUUGUCGGGUAAGUUCCGACCCGCACGAAAGGCGUAAUGAUUUGGAUACUGUCUCGGAGAGGGGCUCGGUGAAAUAGACUUGUCUGUGAAGAUGCGGACUACCUGCACCUGGACAGAAAGACCCUAUGAAGCUUUACUGUAACUUGAAAUUGAAAUUGGACUUUAUUUGCGCAGUAUAGGUGGGAGGCGUUGAAAAUAUUCUUGCGGGAAUAUUGGAGCCAUCAGUGAGAUACCACUCUUGUAAUGUUAGAUUUCUAACUUUAUAUCAUUAUCUGGUUAAAGAACAGUUUCAGGCGGGCAGUUUGACUGGGGCGGACGCCUCCCAAAUGGUAACGGAGGCGCACAAAGGUUUCCUCUGAACGGGUAGAAAUCGUAUCUAGAGUGUAAAGGCAUAAGGAAGCUUGACUGUGAGACCUACAAGUCGAGCAGGGACGAAAGUCGGUCUUAGUGAUCUGACGGUGCUGAGUGGAAAGGCCGUCACUCAACGGAUAAAAGUUACUCUAGGAUAACAGGCUGAUCUCCCCCAAGAGUUCGCAUCGACGGGGAGGUUUGGCACCUCGAUGUCGGCUCAUCGCAUCCUGGGGCGGUAGUACGUCCCAAGGGUUGGGCUGUUCGCCCAUGAAAGCGGUACGCGAGCUGGGUUCAGAACGUCGUGAGACAGUUCGGUCCAUAUCCGGUGUAGGCGUUAGAAUAUUGAGAGGAGCCUUCUUUAGUACGAGAGGACCGAGAAGGACAUACCUCUGGUGUACCAGUUAUCGUGCCAACGGUAAACGCUGGGUAGCUAUGUAUGGAGUGGAUAACCGCUGAAAGCAUCUAAGUGGGAAGCCCACCUCAAGAUAAG